GACGAACGCUGGCGGCGUGCCUAAUACAUGCAAGUAGAACGCUGAAGAGAGGAGCUUGCUCUUCUUGGAUGAGUUGCGAACGGGUGAGUAACGCGUAGGUAACCUGCCUGGUAGCGGGGGAUAACUAUUGGAAACGAUAGCUAGUACCGCAUAAAAUGGAUUAUCGCAUGAUAAUCCAUUGAAAGGUGCAAAUGCAUCACUACCAGAUGGACCUGCGUUGUAUUAGCUAGUUGGUGGGGUAACGGCUCACCAAGGCGACGAUACAUAGCCGACCUGAGAGGGUGAUCGGCCACACUGGGACUGAGACACGGCCCAGACUCCUACGGGAGGCAGCAGUAGGGAAUCUUCGGCAAUGGACGGAAGUCUGACCGAGCAACGCCGCGUGAGUGAAGAAGGUUUUCGGAUCGUAAAGCUCUGUUGUAAGAGAAGAACGAGUGUGAGAGUGGAAAGUUCGCACUGUGACGGUAUCUUACCA
This 475-nucleotide ribosomal RNA is filed under the name Streptococcus sp. oral taxon 071. RNAcentral describes it as "bacterial SSU rRNA". It matches the Rfam family "Bacterial small subunit ribosomal RNA", at positions 28 to 485 of the family's 1533-position model. Lineage: Bacteria; Bacillati; Bacillota; Bacilli; Lactobacillales; Streptococcaceae. The record is from RNAcentral.